CCUACGGGGGGCAGCAGUGAGGAAUAUUGGUCAAUGGACGGAAGUCUGAACCAGCCAUGCCGCGUGCAGGAAGACGGCUCUAUGAGUUGUAAACUGCUUUUGUACAAGGGUAAACCUGAAUACGUGUAUUCAGCUGAAAGUACUGUACGAAUAAGGAUCGGCUAACUCCGUGCCAGCAGCCGCGGUAAUACGGAGGAUCCAAGCGUUAUCCGGAUUUAUUGGGUUUAAAGGGUGCGUAGGCGGGCAUUUAAGCCGGCGGUCAAAUGUCGGGGCUCAACCCCGGCCUGCCGUCGGAACUGGGUGCC
RNAcentral lists this ribosomal RNA (305 nucleotides) under uncultured bacterium. RNAcentral describes it as "bacterial SSU rRNA". It matches the Rfam family "Bacterial small subunit ribosomal RNA", at positions 338 to 641 of the family's 1533-position model. The record is from RNAcentral.